GAUGAACGCUGGCGGCGUGCCUAAUACAUGCAAGUCGAGCGAACGGACGAGAAGCUUGCUUCUCUGAUGUUAGCGGCGGACGGGUGAGUAACACGUGGAUAACCUACCUAUAAGACUGGGAUAACUUCGGGAAACCGGAGCUAAUACCGGAUGAUAUUUUGAACCGCAUGGUUCAAAAGUGAAAGACGGUUUUGCUGUCACUUAUAGAUGGAUCCGCGCUGCAUUAGCUAGUUGGUAAGGUAACGGCUUACCAAGGCAACGAUGCAUAGCCGACCUGAGAGGGUGAUCGGCCACACUGGAACUGAGACACGGUCCAGACUCCUACGGGAGGCGGCAGUAGGGAAUCUUCCGCAAUGGGCGAAAGCCUGACGGAGCAACGCCGCGUGAGUGAUGAAGGUCUUCGGAUCGUAAAACUCUGUUAUUAGGGAAGAACAUAUGUGUAAGUAACUGUGCACAUCUUGACGGUACCUAAUCAGAAAGCCACGGCUAACUACGUG
This 497-nucleotide ribosomal RNA is filed under the name uncultured bacterium. RNAcentral describes it as "partial 16S ribosomal RNA". It matches the Rfam family "Bacterial small subunit ribosomal RNA", at positions 28 to 507 of the family's 1533-position model. The record is from RNAcentral.